CCCACCAGGAUGACAAUGGACUAAACCUCUGAAACUGUGACCUCAGGUCCUGACAAGUUGACAGUUAAGGAAGUUGAGGAAGAAAGGGCCAAGCUACAAAAGCUUCUAACCAAACUACAAAAGCCAUCUUGGGUCACUUCUCCUGCCUGUGUGCCUUGGAAACAGUACUUUUGACCAUAAUCGUCUCAGGGAACUGCUAAGCCCUUCUUCCAGAAGCAAGAGGAACCAGCAGUGCCCAAGAGCCACCAUGAACAGUGUCACUUUCAAGGAUGACGACCCGGAACCGGGAACGGGAGAGGAACUCAAUAACGGGGCAUGUUUGGCUGAGCGAGCCAGUGAGCAGCUCCCCUCCUCGGCUUCUGCUUCAGCUCCCGCCUCCAGGUUGGACAAGCAACUGUAGCCGGCUUCCCAGGAGUGUGGGCAACCUGGGCGCCCCAGCUUCACUGUGGAAGGAACCCCAUCCAUUCCUUCAGAGGUCCCUCAUGAGAAAGUGAACACUAGCAGUCACCUCCAAAAGGAGAUUUCAGUUCCCAUGAUGUGCGACCCGACAGGAGAAUUUACAGCUCUGAGAAGCGGUACCAGCAGAGCAACCCAGUCAGAUGCUGAAGGGUGUGUUUCUUUGGCUGUCCCUUUUUCCCACGAUGCUGAUGCCAGGGCAGGGCGAGGCACUCUUCGGGAAGAGCCCUACAGGUACCGCCGAGCUGGAAAGACUGACCACAACUCACGAGCCGCCCCAACCCAGCCACAAGGGAAGUGACCUGUCUGGGGUGGACAGCUGCCUAGGGCGGCUUCCCCAUAGGGUCUGGACCAGCAGGCUGCGAUCUGUGUGACUUCCCUGGCCCUGGCUAUGCACAUUAACUGUAACAUGAUGACAUAAUUAUAGAAACGGAGAACACCCUUCAUUUCCUCAGCCACCUGCCCUCAUCAGCGACAGCCCCAGAACAUGCUGGAAGAACUUGGACGCACCAACACUUCAUUACAAGCCGAGGCUAGCGGUGAACAAAAUAAAUAUGCAUCGGAGGCUGAAUGCCUAUAAUUAGCGUUCCCAUGCGGCUAAAGAAAACGAGAGACGUUUUAAUUCUAGAACUCUGCGUGAACGUUAAGUCGCUGCUAGGGAACGGUUCUCGAGACUUAACCUGUGAGGGCCCGAGGGACAGGCAGAGUUAAGAUCCUUGGGGUAGGUAGGGUUCAAAUGAAGCUGCCACGCCGCUAGAUAGCCCGGGCCGUUGCUUGCCUCCCAGAGCCAAAUGAACUCUCCCAACUCUAUGACAGGCUGGCAUCGUCCCCUGGCACCCACGGACUGGGUGAAUCUAGUCACCUAAUAAACAGCUAACGCAGGCAUGUCUGUUGUUUCCAGAGAGGCUAGGAAGGGCGUUUCACUUGCUGCCUUUGAAAUUCACAUGCAGAAGCAGGAUGCUUUUAUCUGUCAGCCCCUUAAGCUCAGUGCUGGGAAUAACUUCCAAACACUGCCCUGCUCUGCACUUGGCAUGGCCAGUCAGCCUGGGGAUUUUGUGCCUCCGUCACCAUUGAUUACUGGAUGGGAGAACUUGGCAUUGCUGAAGGAGAACGGGCCACAUGGUCCCGAACUCCUCAGCCCAUCCAAGGGGUGAUGGGGCUCUCUAUAUCCCUAUGGCUAACCUAACAGAGGCAUUUGAGGUGAGCAGAUAGGCAAGCUGGGGAAUCCCCAGCAUGGAGCCCAGGAGGGUCAUGGAGGAGACACGCCCCGUCUCCUGACUUCUGUGUCCCCAGUCAGCAAGUGUUUGGUGGUAAGAGUAGCAUUGUGCUCAGCCCCCACAAGGAGCUAUAUUCAGCUUGUUCAGUUCCAGAAUCCCAUGAGUGGGGGAGUAAGGCCAGUGUCCUUAUGCCUUGGUGGCCACCAGAAUCUUAAAGCAGGGGCUACUGUAGCCUCAAGCCAGGAAGCAUGGCCACAAUCAGCAUCUGGGAAUGCAGUGCUGACCUCACAGGCAUGAGGUGGUCUGUCCCAUUUCAGCUAAGAGGACUGUUCACACCAAGAGCUGGUUUUUUUUUAUUACACUUUUUUUAUUAGUUUAUUUCUUACAUUCCAAUCCCAGUUCCCCCUCCCUCCUCUCCUCCAGCUCCCCCCACUACCCCCUCCUCCCCUCUGUUCCACAGACAGGAUGAGGCCUCCCCUAGGAAGCCUAAGUUUUACCAUCAUCCAGGCAGGACCAAGGCUUCUCUCCACCCCCACACCCCUGUGUUUAGGAUGGGCAAGGUAUCUCUCCAUAUAGAAUGGUCCACUGAGUCAGUUUGUGCAUUAGUGUUAGAUCUUGGGCACACUGCCAGUAGCCUCAUAUAUUG
Long non-coding RNA from Mesocricetus auratus (golden hamster), 2319 nucleotides. RefSeq lists it as uncharacterized. NCBI's taxonomy places the organism in Eukaryota, Metazoa, Chordata, Mammalia, Rodentia, Cricetidae. The record is from RefSeq and is a predicted model, not a curated record. The transcript has 7 exons.